UACGUAGGUCCCGAGCGUUGUCCGGAUUUAUUGGGCGUAAAGCGAGCGCAGGUGGUUUAUUAAGUCUGGUGUAAAAGGCAGUAGCUCAACCAUUGUAUGCAUUGGAAACUGGUAGACUUGAGUGCAGGAGAGGGGAGUGGAAUUCCAUGUGUAGCGGUGAAAUGCGUAGAUAUAUGGAGGAACACCGGUGGCGAAAGCGGCUCUCUGGCCUGUAACUGACACUGAGGCUCGAAAGCGUGGGGAGCAAACAGG
Molecule: ribosomal RNA, 252 nt
Filed under: uncultured bacterium
Lineage: Bacteria
Description: partial 16S ribosomal RNA
Rfam family: Bacterial small subunit ribosomal RNA
Source: RNAcentral